ACUGCUAUUUGGGUGAGGAUAAGCCAUGCGAGUUGGAUGGGAUACCUAAAGUUCCCAUAGCAAACUGCUUAGUAACACAUGAUCAACUUGCCCUAUGGAGAAAACUAACCUCGGGAAACUGAGGAUAAUGUUUCAUAGUUGAAUAGGCUUGGAAAAGUUUUUCAAUGAAAGGAAUAAGAUAAAUGGUUCUUAUUUGCCAUAGGAUAGGAUCGUGGUCGAUUAUGGUAGUUGGUGAGAUAACGGCUCACCAAGCCGAUAAUCGAUAGGGGCCGUGAGAGCGGGAGCCCCAAGAUGGGUACUGAGACAGCGACCCAGGCCUUACGAGGCGCAGCAGGCGCGAGACCUCCGCAAUACACGAAAGUGUGACGGGGUUACCCAAAGUGUUCUCUUAAGAACUGUGGCAGGUGAGUAAUGUCCCCUGCUAGAAAGGAGAGGGCAAGGCUGGUGCCAGCCGCCGCGGUAAAACCAGCUCUUCAAGUGGUCGGGAUAAUUAUUGGGCUUAAAGUGUCCGUAGCCGGUUUAGUAAGUUCCUGGUAAAAUCGGGUAGCUUAACUAUCUGCAUGCUAGGAAUACUGCUAUACUAGAGGGCGGGAGAGGUCUGAGGUACUACAGGGGUAGGGGUGAAAUCUUAUAAUCCUUGUAGGACCACCAGUGGCGAAGGCGUCAGACUGGAACGCGCCUGACGGUGAGGGACGAAAGCCAGGGGAGCGAACCGGAUUAGAUACCCGGGUAGUCCUGGCCGUAAACGAUGCAUACUAGGUGAUGGUACGGCCAUGAGCCGUAUCAGUGCCGUAGGGAAACCGUUAAGUGUGCCGCCUGGGAAGUACGGUCGCAAGGCUAAAACUUAAAGGAAUUGGCGGGGGAGCACCACAAGGGGUGAAGCCUGCGGUUCAAUUGGACCCAACGCCGGGAAACUUACCAGGGGAGACAGCAGAAUGAGGGUCAGGUUGACGACCUUACCUGAUGAGCUGAGAGGAGGUGCAUGGCCGUCGCCAGUUCGUGCUGUGAGGUAUCCUGUUAAGUCAGGUAACGAACGAGAUCCGCACCUUUAUUUGCCAACAAGAAGUUACGACUUCGUUGGGAACACUAAAGGGACCGCCGUCGAUAAGACGGAGGAAGGAGCGGGCAAAGGCAGGUCAGUAUGCCCCGAAACCCCUGGGCUACACGCGGGCUGCAAUGGUAUGAACAAUGGGCUGUAACUCCGAAAGGAGAAACCAAUCCCGAAAUCAUAUCACAGUGGGGAUUGUUGGCUGUAACCCGCCGACAUGAACGUGGAAUCCCUAGUAAUCGUGUGUCAUCAUCGCACGGUGAAUACGUCUCUGCUCCUUGCACACACCGCCCGUCGCUCCAUCCGAGUGUACUAAAAAUGAGGUUUGGUCAGACUGGUCAUAUCGAGUUUCUAGUAUGCGAGGAGGGAGAAGUCGUAACAAGGUA
Molecule: ribosomal RNA, 1434 nt
Filed under: metagenome
Description: bacterial SSU rRNA
Rfam family: Archaeal small subunit ribosomal RNA
Source: RNAcentral